This 360-nucleotide ribosomal RNA is filed under the name uncultured microorganism. RNAcentral describes it as "bacterial SSU rRNA". It matches the Rfam family "Bacterial small subunit ribosomal RNA", at positions 9 to 369 of the family's 1533-position model. The record is from RNAcentral.
GAGUUUGAUCGUGGCUCAGGAUGAACGUUAGGGGCGUGCCUAACACAUGCAAGUCGAACGAACAGCCAGAAUCUUAGGAAUCUGGCGGGUUAGUGGCGCACGGGUGAGUAACACGUAGGUGACCUGCCCCGAAGUGGGGACAACACUGGAAACAGUGGCUAAUACCGCAUGUGCUUAGCCAUUCGGUUGGUUAAGUAAAGCUGGGGCGCUUCGGGAGGGGCCUGCGGUCGAUUAGCUAGUUGGUGAGGUAAUGGCUCACCAAGGCGAUGAUCGAUAGGGGGCGUGAGAGCGUGACCCCCCACACUGGGACUGAGACACGGCCCAGACUCCUACGGGAGGCAGCAGUGAGGAAUAUUGCAC